AUACACAUAUAAACUGUUCUGAUUGGUUGUGAUUUACAGAUCUGUCCUAUGAGAAGUCCAUCAGUAACACUGUCCAUGUAGGAGGAUAUUUGAAUAUCAGCUGUAAAUACCCAGAAUCCCUCAGGAGUGACCCCAAGUUUCUCUGCAAGACGAGUCUGAUAGAUUCUGCUUGUUCUUAUAAAGAAUCUGUUAAUGAAAGUAGAAAAUAUGUAAAUGAGGGGAAAUUCUCCCUGUAUGAUGACAGAGAAACACAAAUGUUGACUGUGAGUAUUAGAAAUGUAACUGAGCAGGACUCUGGUGAAUACUGGUGUGGAGCUGAAGCAGCCUGGACAUCUGAUCAUGGAUACAAGGUUUAUUUCACACAGAUCGACCUGACAGUUACUGACCCAUUUGUCCCAGUUUCAACCUCGAAACCAACACAACCUUCAUCAUCACCAUCAUCUUCUUCUUCAUCUGAGUCUACUCCAGCUUCUCCUCCAGCAGGAUUUCCAGUUUCCACUGUGAUCACUGUGUCUGUAAUUCUGCUGCUGCUUCUGAUUGCAAUCUCAUUCCUCUUUGUGAUUCUACAAAAAACACACAAGAAUCAAG
This is a long non-coding RNA of Ictalurus punctatus (channel catfish), 588 nucleotides long. NCBI's taxonomy places the organism in Eukaryota, Metazoa, Chordata, Actinopteri, Siluriformes, Ictaluridae. The record is from Ensembl.